GGAACGGUAGUUCGGUUGGUUAAGAAUACCUGUCACGCAGGGUCGCGAGUUCGGUCCCGUCCGUUCCGCCA
Molecule: transfer RNA, 71 nt
Filed under: Salmonella enterica subsp. enterica
Lineage: Bacteria; Pseudomonadati; Pseudomonadota; Gammaproteobacteria; Enterobacterales; Enterobacteriaceae
Description: tRNA-Val
Source: RNAcentral